ACUGCCCUUCCCGGGAUGGGAGAAGGGCAGACAAAGAAGAGCGGACCACAAGUUACAUCGCCCCCCCCCCCGGGUCCCGCAUCGGGAUGCUGAGGGGCGAGGGCGCCGGCUCCGCAGUGGCCUCCCGGGUGGGAAGGUUCCCUCGGUGGGACGCAGGUCCCCGCGGCCCAGCGGCCACCGGCGGGCACAGGGCGGCUCUCGGGGUCGCGGGGCUCACCUUGUUGAGAUGCGGGUCCCGCGUCAGCAGAUUGGGAGUGGAACAGAGGGGCCCUGGGAAAACUGCCUUCAUGAUCAUGGUAUUUCCCCUGCCAGGUUGAAGAGCAUGAGAGCUGUUCUGUCUACAGGAAUAAGAACUUUGUCUCUUCAAUAUGGAAGAGUGGUAAAACACAUAAGAGUAUCCAAAUAGCGUAUAGAACAUGCUUUAUUGCUAUGUAACAAGAUUUAAACAGCACUCACCCCAUGCUCUCCUGUGCUUUCUGUGCAUGUCUAAUUGGAGAAUGGCCUGGCUUCUUUCUGCUGGCCCCAGGUUUCUCAACUGCUGCAGUGAGAGUGGUUGGCAUGCCUGUACAGUCUCAGCUACUCAGAAGGCAGGAUUGCUUGAAGCAGGAGUUAUCAGGCCAACCUAGGAGCAUAGUGAGAAAGAGCUUAUCUCAAGAAAGAGGGGAAAGAAGAGAAAAGAAGAGGAGGGCCAUGUUAAGUGAACCAUUGCACACUGCUUUGCGAUAUGCCUUAAGUAUCAUAGUUAGACUACUAAAUUAUGCUAGUUUUAUAUAAGGUUAACAAGAAACCAUGAAAGAAUUACCUAUUUGAAACAAAAGAUGUCUGGAGAACCGUGUAUUGCUUAGCUGUGACAACAGUAUAAUAAUUAACAAUAUUAAAAUUAAUGCCAGAAACUGAAUGAUAAUGGGUACAGAACUUUUUUUUUAAUUUAGAAAAAUAUACCACAAGAAUUUUAACAGUAUAUUUCAUUUUAUAAUUCUUCUAUGUUUGAGGCUCACAUGAAAGGUAUAUGUUAUUUUGUAUGCAGGAAAAACAUCUGUAGCAUACUUGGUACUGGGGAUUUGAUCAAUGUAUUCUUCUGUAAGGUUUUAGGAACCACAGCUCUGUCUUUCUCGUUUCUGAGAUGGCUGCGGCUGUGGAUCAGCAGCAGGUUUCAUCAGCAUCGUGGGUAGUGAAAACUCCUGACAACUUGGCAGCAGGCAUUAAACCCAGCCACAUAAAGUUAGCCUAAGAGGGACUGGAUACAUUUCAUAAUGGCUUUCUGUGCCAAAUACCUGUAAGGAGAACCACCCUGCUCUUCUUACUAUGAAGUAACUAGAUUAAAAACAAACACAAAUGAUCUCAAGAUUUAAAAAAAAAAAUGAAGCUAAAGAACAUUGUAAAAAUGUUAAACUUUUCAAAAUAAAUAAUAUAGAUCAAACUUACCAUUUAACCAUGACUCAUCUAAGAAACAGAUUAUCAUGUGGCUUAAUUAAUUAAUAUACAAUUGACUUUCAAAUACAGCAGGAUGUUAAUCUCUAAGUAAUCAUUUUGUUUACAUUUUUACUUCUCAGUAUCUCUGUAUUCUGAAUAUUUUAGCAUUAUAGAAAUCCCACAUAUGAUUUAUUUUCAAAUCAAACAGAAAAACUUGCUAAAGAUUUAAAAUUUCUUCUUGGAACAAGAAACAAAUUGUUGCCUUUAAACUGGCAUUCUUUUUUUUAAUCACCCUGUUGACCUAUUUGCCUUUUUAUUUCAAGAAGUUUUUUUUUCUUAAUAAUCAGAAAAAAAAAUCUUCAUGGACAGAAGAGUCUUAUUAAAUUACUUUAUUUGGUUUGAAUAAUCU
Molecule: long non-coding RNA, 1822 nt
Filed under: Mus pahari (shrew mouse)
Lineage: Eukaryota; Metazoa; Chordata; Mammalia; Rodentia; Muridae
Description: RIKEN cDNA A330041J22 gene (MGP_PahariEiJ_G0002305.1)
Source: RNAcentral